CGGAUUGGAGUCUGCAACCCGACUCCNUGAAGCUGGAUUCGCUAGUAAUCGCGCAUCAGCCACGGCGCGGUGAAUACGUUCCCGGGCCUUGUACACACCGCCCGUCAAGCCAUGGAAGCCGGGGGUGCCUGAAGUGCGUGACCGCAAGGAGCGCCCUAAGGUAAAACCGGUGACUGGGGCUAAGUCGUAACAAGGUAUC
RNAcentral lists this ribosomal RNA (199 nucleotides) under uncultured bacterium. Its description in RNAcentral is "partial 16S ribosomal RNA". It matches the Rfam family "Bacterial small subunit ribosomal RNA", at positions 1294 to 1500 of the family's 1533-position model. The record is from RNAcentral.